RNAcentral lists this long non-coding RNA (766 nucleotides) under Mytilus galloprovincialis (Mediterranean mussel). The record is from RNAcentral. Lineage: Eukaryota; Metazoa; Mollusca; Bivalvia; Mytilida; Mytilidae.
GUUCUCUCAAAGUUUCAUAUCUUUGAUUUUUUUUCUACCAUGCCAGAGUGCCAGCAAAAUAGUAUAAUUAAUGGACGCCACACCGGAUGCACCCGCACAAUUUAUUUUUCUAAACGGAGAAAAAAUAAAUUUUUUAUACUCCGGCUGUCCGCAUCCAUUAUAGUAAUCAUAUCUAUUUCCAGUAUUUUUAUACUCCGGCUGUCCGCAUCCAUUAUAGUAAUAUCUAUUUUGCAGUAUUUUUAUACUCCGGUUAUUCACAUCCAUUAUAGUAAUCAUAUCUAUUUCCAGUAUUUUUAUACUCCGGCUGUCCGCAUCCAGUAUAGUAAUCAUAUCUAUUUCCAGUAUUUUUAUACUCCGGCUGUCCGCAUCCAGUAUAGUAUAUUUUUUAUAAUAGUAAUCAUAUCUAUUUCCAGUAUUUUUAUACUUCGGCUGUCCGCACCCAUUAUAGUAAUCGUAUCUAUUUCCAGUAUUUUUUUUUAUGUAAACAUUAAACAGAUAAAGGUGACAGUCACAAGGUAAGUAUUUCCUGGCCCAUACACAGGCAAAAUUUGCUCACAUGAAAUUCACAUGAAAAGGUUCACGUGAGAUUCACCUCAAACGAGCUUAUACAUGAAACUCACGUAAACAUUUUCAUGUGAAUUUCACGUGAAUUGAGAUUCACAUGAAUCUGAUGUGAAAUUUUUCAUAUGAAUUUCACAUUAAAAUUUUCAACAACAAAAAAUGAUAUUUUUCAUAAGUUAAUUAUAUUUUAAAAUUUAGAUGUUAU